GGACCCGCACAAGUAGUGGAGCAUGUGGUUUAAUUCGAAGAUACGCGCAGAACCUUACCAACACUUGACAUGUUCGUCGCGACUCUAAGAGAUUAGAGUUUCGGUUCGGCCGGACGAAACACAGGUGCUGCAUGGCUGUCGUCAGCUCGUGUCGUGAGAUGUUGGGUUAAGUCCCGCAACGAGCGCAACCCUCACUUUUAGUUGCCAUCAUUUAGUUGGGCACUCUGAAAGAACUGCCAGUGAUAAGCUGGAGGAAGGUGGGGAUGACGUCAAGUCCUCAUGGCCCUUACGUGUUGGGCUACACACGUGCUACAAUGGUAUCUACAACAGGAAGCAAAACAGCGAUGUUAAG
RNAcentral lists this ribosomal RNA (352 nucleotides) under uncultured bacterium. Its description in RNAcentral is "bacterial SSU rRNA". It matches the Rfam family "Bacterial small subunit ribosomal RNA", at positions 917 to 1267 of the family's 1533-position model. The record is from RNAcentral.